UGUUGCCUGCAAGGGCGUAUGGUGGAUGCCUUGGCAGACAGGACCGAUGAAGGACGUUUGAGGCUGCGAUAUGCCUCGGGGAGCCGCCAACAGGGCUUUGAUCCGAGGAUUUCCGAAUGGGGGAACCCACCGGCCGUCAUGGGCCGGUACCGCCGUGUGCGGGGGGUACGCAGGGAAGUGAAACAUCUCAGUACCUGCAGGAAAGGAUAUUCCGUGAGUAGUGGCGAGCGAAAGCGGAUCAGGCCAAACCUUGCGCGUGUGAUACCCGUCGGGGGUUGCGCGCGGGGUGUAGAGGGAUCGCGUUUGCCGGCUCCGACGGGCCGGCCGUCAGUUGCAUAAAACCAUGUGCCAGGGGAACCGGGUUGAAUACCGGGCCGCAGAGGGUGAGGGCCCCGUACCCGAACGCGCAUGGUCUGGCGAUCGCGUCUCCCAAGUAGCACGGGCCCCGUGGAAUCCCGUGCGAAUCUGUCCCGACCGUGGGAUAAGCCUAAAUAUUCCUGUCUGACCGAUAGCGAACGAGUACCGUGAGGGAAAGGUGAAAAGUACCCCGGGAGGGGAGUGAAACAGUCUCUGAAACCAUGCGCCUACGAACCGUCGGGGCCCUCUUGUGGGGUGACGGCGUGCCUAUCGAAAAAUGAGUCUGCGAGUCAGUGGCAUGUGGCGAGCAUAACCCGUGUGGGGUAUGCGUAGCGAAGGCGAGUCUUAAAAGGCGUUUGAGUCGCGUGUCCUGGACCCGAAGCGGGAUGAUCUAGCCCUGAGCAGGUUGAAGCGCGGGUAAGACCGUGUGGAGGACCGAACCCACCUGGGUUGAAAACCGGGGGGAUGACUUGGGGCUAGGGGUGAAAGGCCAAUCAAAUUCCGUGAUAGCUGGUUCUCUCCGAAAUGCAUUUAGGUGCAGCGUCGGAUCGAUUACAUCCGGGGGGUAGAGCGACUGGAUGCUUGCGGGCCCAUAUCGGGUACCAACAGCAACCAAACUCCGAAUACCCGUGAUGCGUAUCCCGGCAGUGAGUCGGCGGGGGAUAAGCUCCGUCGUCGAAAGGGAAACAGCCCAGAUCGUCGUCUAAGGUCCCCAAGCGUGUGCUAAGUGGGAAAGGAUGUGGAGUCGCAUAGACAGCCAGGAGGUUGGCUCAGAAGCAGCCACCCUUGAAAGAGUGCGUAACAGCUCACUGGUCUAGUGGUUCCGCGCCGACAAUGUAGCGGGGCUCAAGCACACCACCGAAGACGCGGCAGUAGCUUUGCUACUGGGUAGGAGAGCGUCCCAUGCGGGGCGAAGCGGCGGCGCAAGCCCGCCGUGGACCGCAUGGGAGUGAGAAUGCAGACAUGAGUAGCGAAAGACGGGUGAAGAUCCCGUCCGCUGGACGACCAAGGGUUCCAGGGCCACGUUCAUCGUCCCUGGGUGAGUCGGGUCCUAAGGCGAGGCCGACAGGCGUAGUCGAAUGGACGAACGGGUCGAUAUUCCCGUACCGGCAUGCAACCGGCAAAACCGAAUCCGCGAGUACUAACCUCCGGGUCCGGGCUCACGUCUCCUUCGGGAGCCGGAUGCCCUGGCCUGUUGGGACCGUAACGGUAGUAGGUCAGCGCGGGAGUGACGCAGAAGGGUAGCCGGCCGCGGAGGUGGUCUUCCGUGGUCAAGCACGCAGCCCGUCCCACAGGCAAAUCCGUGGGGCGCGUGGGCGAGGUGCGAUGAUGGGCGCCGCAGGGCGCGAUAUCCGGUGAUCCCGGCUGCCGAGAAAAGCUUCGGCGUGAGGCGGCAUGCCGCCCGUACCCCAAACCGACACUGGUGGUCAGGUAGAGAAUACCAAAGCGAUCGAGCGAAUCCUGGUCAAGGAACUCGGCAAAUCACUCCCGUUCCUUCGGUUUAAGGGAGACCCCCGAUGGUGAACACACUUGCUGUGGGAGCUUUUGGGGGUGGCACAGACCAGGGGGUAGCGACUGUUUACCAAAAACACAGGAGCGUGCGAAGGCGCAAGCCGCUGUAUACGCUCUGACGCCUGCCCGGUGCCGGAAGGUUAAGAGGAUCCGUCAGGCCUCGGCCGAAGCGGUGAAUUCAAGCCCCGGUAAACGGCGGUGGUAACUAUAACCAUCCUAAGGUAGCGAAAUUCCUUGUCGGGUAAGUUCCGACCUGCACGAAUGGCGU
Molecule: ribosomal RNA, 2137 nt
Filed under: human gut metagenome
Description: bacterial LSU rRNA
Rfam family: Bacterial large subunit ribosomal RNA
Source: RNAcentral